This 678-nucleotide transfer RNA is filed under the name Photobacterium phosphoreum. Its description in RNAcentral is "16S-23S ribosomal RNA intergenic spacer". The stretch from base 166 to 238 matches the Rfam family "tRNA". Lineage: Bacteria; Pseudomonadati; Pseudomonadota; Gammaproteobacteria; Vibrionales; Vibrionaceae. The record is from RNAcentral.
CUGUUUUAUGCAGUGUCCACACAGAUUGCUUGGUCGAAAUGUAAAAGAGCCAACAUAAGUUGCCCAACAACUUAUGUUAUGAACAUUGUCCCGUUCGUCUAGAGGCCUAGGACACCGCCCUUUCACGGCGGUAACAGGGGUUCGACUCCCCUACGGGACGCCAAUGGGUCGUUAGCUCAGUUGGUAGAGCAGUUGACUUUUAAUCAAUUGGUCGCAGGUUCGAAUCCUGCACGACCCACCAUUCUUUCUCACGAAGGAAUUAAAAUUAUCGUGGGCGAUUAGCUCAGUUGGGAGAGCACCCCCCUUACAAGGAGGGGGUCACUGGUUCGAGCCCGGUAUCGCCCACCACUCUCUAAGUAUUUUCUGCACGAAUACGCAGAUUUAAUAAAGAAUUUCUUUAUUAAGUCCGCAUUGUUGUCGCUGAAAAUCAUUAGAAAGUGGUUUUCAAUAGAAAAUUGCAUGCUCUUUAACAAUCUGGAAAGCUGACUAGUAAAUUCAAUCGAAAGAUUGAUUUUAAAAAAUGUUUUUAUCUUCGGAUAAAAACGAGUUCUCAAAACAACACACAUUCAAGUGUCUUGUAUCGAGUCCGGCGAAAAACCAAUGUUUAAUAUUUUCUUGAUCGGGUUAUUAAACGCAAACCUUGGUUGUUUGAACAUACAAGACCUCUUGGGGUUGUAU